UUACAGAUAGCAACUCGCCCGUUAAAUCGUUGAAUGAAAAAAAUAGGGCAAUCGUGUGUUGUAGUGACAAAAAGAUGAUUCUGAUAAU
Molecule: non-coding RNA, 88 nt
Filed under: Thalassiosira antarctica
Lineage: Eukaryota; Bacillariophyta; Thalassiosirophyceae; Thalassiosirales; Thalassiosiraceae
Source: RNAcentral